Molecule: ribosomal RNA, 3081 nt
Filed under: Triticum aestivum (bread wheat)
Lineage: Eukaryota; Viridiplantae; Streptophyta; Magnoliopsida; Poales; Poaceae
Description: partial small subunit ribosomal RNA
Source: RNAcentral
AUGCCGGGGGGCAGGGUGGAUCGCAGUGAGUUCAGAUGUGCGGGAAGGGAGAGGGAAGAGAAGGGAGAAAGGAGAAGCAGGGCGUCAGGGCAGCAGCUUGGAACUCUGACGGUCGCCGGCGUCAUCCAGAUGCGGCGGGGUCGCGCGCGGUGCUCGGAUGGAGGCAACUGCGAUGUGAGGCUCGGGAGGAGCUCCUCUGUCUCAACCCAGCGUGACGAGGGAGACUCGCCUGCAGGUCAAAACCGCCCAUUGACCAUUGCCAUGUCAGCAAUCAGUCAAGAUUUUGUUGAGGACCAAUUUGGCCUCGGGUUGAUUGCUUGGGCAGUUGAAGAAGGGAUAGCUAUCAUAAAGCCUAUGGGUAUUAUGAUAUUCAACGUGGAUUAUGCAUCAAUAAGCUCUGGCAAACAAACAUUAUGCAGCAUUAUCCUAGUGUUUGGUCAAGAAUUUCGAGUUGCACAACAACAUUUAGCUUCUGAUGCGGAUAUUUCAGCUUUAGUUGAAAUUGAGAAAAUUUACCCACAUCAUUUUGAGUUCUUCAUGGAUCUUCAUGGGGAUCAACCUGUCUCUGCAUGCACUGCCUUGGCAUACAUGAAAUCUGGUGGCCGUGUUUCGCAUGCUUUCUCCGUGUAUAGCUGUCAACUUCGCCAACCUAACCAGGUGAAGAAGCUAUUUGAGAGUUUUAAAAAUGGACUUCAUGAAGUCAGCAGCUCGCUCGAUUUAUCUUUUGAUGAUGAUUCUGUUGCCGAUGAAAAGAUUCCCUUCCUAGUAUACCUAGCUCAUUUUUUGAAGGAUGAUAAGCCCAAUCCUUGUGAGCCUCCAGCUGGAUGUUUAAACUUUCGGAAUAUUGUCGCUGAAUUUAUGAAGAGCUACCACCACAUCCCAUUAACUCCUGAAGAUGUUGUUGUAUUCCCUUCCCGCGAUGUGGCAAUAGAAAAUUACCUUCGACUGUUCUCACCAUCACUCGCGAUUGUCGAUGAACAUCUGACCAGACACUUGCCCAAGCAAUGGUUGACAUCUUCAGCAAUCGAGUGGAAAAUACAUGCCUAUCCUGUGAAGAAAAAUGAUGGUUCAAGAAUGUUGAUGCUACUGCUUCCUUUUGACACUGCAGGGGAGGGCAGAUGUAACCGUGCUGAAGACACAGUCACUGUAAUUGAAGCGCCAUGCCGGUCAGAUUUGCUGAUUGAAUUGGUCAGGAAGCUGAAGCCUCAGGUUGUUGUUACUGGCAUAGCUCAUUUUGAGGUUGUCACCAGUGCAGCUUUUGUGAACUUACUAAGCGCAACACAAGAUGUUGGUUCUCGCUUAUUCCUGGACAUUUCAGAGCAUCUGGAGUUAUCUAAUUUGCCAAACUCUAAUGGUGUGCUGAAAUAUCUUGCUGGAAACACCCUACCUUCGCAUGCAGCUAUACUGUGUGGUCUAGUAAAAAAUCAGGUUUAUUCUGAUCUGGAAGUUGCUUUUGCUAUUUCCGAGGAUGCAGCUGUAUGUAAGGCAUUGUCACAAACUAUUGAGAUAUUGGAAGGACAUACUUCUGUGAUUAGCCAGCACUAUUAUGGAUGUCUUCUCCAUGAGCUGCUGGCGUUUCAAAUUGGCGACCAGCAUGCACAACAAGAGAGGCAACCUGCAGAAGUGACACCUCAGAAGAUAAUAGGAUUUUCUAAUUCAGCUCUGACUACCCUAGAAGAAGCUGAAUUUUUUGUUCCCGAGUUAAAGGAUUGUAGUGUCAUUCAUAUGGAUUUAGACCGCAGUUUCUUGUCAGUACCUUCUGCAGUGAAAGCCUCCAUUUUUGAAAGUUUUGUGAGGCAGAACAUCACGGAUUCUGAAGCUGAUGUCCGUUCUAGCAUUGAAAAGCUGGUGGGAAAUAACUAUGGUUUACCAGGAGACGAUUGUCCUGAUAUUGCAGAGUCCUCCUACCGUAAGGAAAUUGUAUAUGGCAGCAGCUGUCUCGCACUCUUUAACAAGCUUAUCAUUUGCUGUGUGCAAGAACAAGGCACCUUCUUUUUCCCCAUGGGCACAAAUGGACACUAUGUCGCAGCAGCGAAGUUUAUGAACGCAAAAACCUUGACAAUUCCAACAAAUGUAGAGUCAGGCUUCAAGAUUGAACCGAUGGCUCUAGAUGCAGCUCUAGAGGAUGCCAUUGAGAACAAUAAUGUAUUCCGUCCAUGGGUGUAUAUUUCUGGCCCUACAAUCAACCCUUCUGGUUUCCUUUAUAGUGAUAACGAGAUAAAAGAUCUGGUCUCUGUUUGUGCUCAUCGUUCAGCUCGGGUCGUGAUAGAUACCUCCUUUUCCGGUCUUGAGUUUCAAACUGAUGGCUGGAGUCGGUGGAAUUUGAGUACAUUAUCUUAUGACAUUUGCUUAUGUUCCACACUAACUUAUUUCAUGCUCGGAGAGCUGUCUCUUCAGCUGACAGCGUCUGGCCUUGAUUUUGGGUUUCUGAUUUGUAGUAAGCCACCCAAUGUGGAACUUAGUUUCGGAAGCUUGAGUCAGCCACAUAAGACACUGAAGUACGCUUUUAGAAAACUGUUGGGUCUUAAAAACGAGUGGGAUGGGCACUUCUCUAGUCCCUUCUAUAGUCUCAUCAUGGAGCAACAGGACAAAGCUCAGGAAUGGUUCGAACAAGUUCAAAAAGCUGAUAAGGGGAAAUUCUCUAAUAUCAUCAUGGAGCAAAGGGAGAAACUCAAGAAACGUGCCAACAAGUUAACGAAGGUAGACAUACUUUCGCACAGCUUCAAGGAGGACUUUGGGUUUGACAUGGUGUCCUUUUUUUGCUGCAAUUUACAGACACUUGAGAGCUGUGGGUGGGAUGUUGUCGGCGGUGAUGGAGGUACCUCGAUGCUGGCGAAACCGACGGCCUACAUUAGCAGAUCAUUCAAGAUAGACGGUUUUGAAGGCGAACUCGACGGCUGCAACAUUAGGGAAGCCGUUCUUAGAUCCACUGGUCUUUGCAUAAGCAGUAGCAAAUGGACCGGGAUACCAGACUACUGCCGGUUCAGCUUUGCUCUGGAGAGCAGCGAAUUUGAGCGGGCAAUGGACUGCAUAAUCCGGUUCAGAGAGUUGGUUCUGGGGGAGGAACAAGGCUCGAUCUGA